GACGAACGCUGGCGGCGUGCCUAAUACAUGCAAGUCGAGCGGACGAAUCGAAAGCUUGCUUUUGAUUCGUUAGCGGCGGACGGGUGAGUAACACGUGGGCAACCUGCCCUGUAGACGGGGAUAACACCGAGAAAUCGGUGCUAAUACCGGAUAACACGAAAUGUCGCAUGACGUUUCGUUGAAAGACGGCGCAAGCUGUCGCUACAGGAUGGUCCCGCGGCGCAUUAGCUAGUUGGUGAGGUAACGGCUCACCAAGGCGACGAUGCGUAGCCGACCUGAGAGGGUGAUCGGCCACACUGGGACUGAGACACGGCCCAGACUCCUACGGGAGGCAGCAGUAGGGAAUCUUCCGCAAUGGACGAAAGUCUGACGGAGCAACGCCGCGUGAGCGAAGAAGGCCUUCGGGUCGUAAAGCUCUGUUGUUAGGGAAGAACAAGUAACGCAGUAACUGGCGUUACCGUGACGGUACCUAACGAGAAAGCCACGGCUAACUACGUG
This 498-nucleotide ribosomal RNA is filed under the name uncultured bacterium. RNAcentral describes it as "partial 16S ribosomal RNA". It matches the Rfam family "Bacterial small subunit ribosomal RNA", at positions 28 to 507 of the family's 1533-position model. The record is from RNAcentral.